CCUACGGGAGGCAGCAGUGGGGAAUAUUGGGCAAUGGGCGCAAGCCUGACCCAGCAACGCCGCGUGAAGGAAGAAGGCUUUCGGGUUGUAAACUUCUUUUAAGAGGGAAGAGCAGAAGACGGUACCUCUUGAAUAAGCCACGGCUAACUAAGUGCCAGCAGCCGCGGUAAUACGUAGGUGGCAGGCGUUGUCCGGAUUUCAUGGGUGUAAAGGGCGUGUAGGCGGGCUGACAAGUCCGAUGUGAAAUUCCGGGGCUCAACCCCGGACCUGCAUUUGAACCUGUUGGUCUUGAGUAUCGGAGUGGCAGGCGGAAUUCCUAGUGUAGCGGUGAAAUGCGUAGAUAUUAGGAGGAACACCAGUGGCGAAGGCGGCCUGCUGGACGACAACUGACGGUGAGGCGCGAAAGCGUGGGGAGCAAACAGGAUUAGAUACCCGAGUAGUC
This 442-nucleotide ribosomal RNA is filed under the name uncultured bacterium. Its description in RNAcentral is "partial 16S ribosomal RNA". It matches the Rfam family "Bacterial small subunit ribosomal RNA", at positions 338 to 795 of the family's 1533-position model. The record is from RNAcentral.